This 69-nucleotide transfer RNA is filed under the name Normichthys operosus (multipore searsid). RNAcentral's name for it is "tRNA-Gly". The record is from RNAcentral. Lineage: Eukaryota; Metazoa; Chordata; Actinopteri; Alepocephaliformes; Platytroctidae.
AUCUUUCUAGUAUUAAUUGUACGAGUGACUUCCAAUCACCCAGUCUUGGUCAAAACCCAAGGAAAGAUA